CCGAAAAUUUACGGUCCGCAUUUUCUUUAUAUUGACCUCGAGUAGGCAUAAUACCCUUAAUAUUUUCAUUCAACUACAAAAUACAUUAUAUGAAUAAUACAGUUUGAGGUAGGGUAAAAACCAUGUUAAAUAGCAUUUCUCAAUCUCUUAAGAAAAACACCAAAAUAUUUCUUAAAUCACAAAAAAUAUUCUACGAAAGUUUUCUCAAUAGGUAGGGGUAAAACAAUCGAUCAAAAUGUAGGAAUUAUAAGGAUUUUCUCGAUAAUAUACGUUAAAUGGUAAAAACUAUUCGUAAAACGAAAUUGAAAUUACUGGUAAUUUAUUUCCAUGUAUUUUAUGUAAAUCGAUUUCGGGUAGGCGUAAAACACAAAUAUUCUUAAAACUGACACAUAUUCUGUGAAUAAUGUAUGCAGGUAGGGUCAAUACGAUGUUAAUAAUAAUAUCUUAAGAGCAACAAAAAUUAAUCUUAAAUCACAACAGAUAGGUAGGGGUAAAACAAUCAUUCAAUAAUUUAUCAAAUCGGCAAAUUCAUCGAAAUAUACGACCUAAUGUGUUCAAACUCUGAAAAUUUACUCCACUGCAUUUUAUUUAAAUCGACCUCGGGUAGGCGUAAUACAUCUGUAUUCUUUAACAACAAAAUAUAUUCUCUGAAUAAUAUAAUACGAGGUAGGGCUUAUAUCAUCAUAUCAAAUAUUUCUUAAAUCCCAAAAAAUAUUCUACGAAAGUUUUCUAGAUUGGUAGGGGUAAUCAAAUCGUACAACAAUGUUCAAAGUUAGGUAGGAAUUAUGCAAAUAAAUAGCCCACUGUAUUGGUGAUUUUAUUACUGAUAUAUGAAUGGUACAAACGUGCGUAAGCCGAUAAAGAAAUUAAAAUUACUGGUAAUUUAUUUCCAUUCUUUUUCUUAAAUUUGAUCCCGCAAGAACGUAAAACACAAAAAUUCUUUACACUCGAAAAAAAAUCGUUCAAUGAUUUCUCACAACCGCAAAUUCAUCGAAAUAUACGACCUUAUUAAAAACACUGGAAAUUUACUUCCCUGAAUUUUCUUUAUAUCGACCUCGGGUAGACAUAAUACCUUAAUAUUUUCUUUACCCCGCAAAAUAUAUUUUGUAAAUAAUGUAACAUAGUUUGAGGUAGGGUUAAACCCAUGCUGAAUAACAUAUCUUAAUCUGAUAAGAACAACAUCAAAAUAUGUCUUAA
Long non-coding RNA from Drosophila sulfurigaster albostrigata, 1197 nucleotides. RefSeq lists it as uncharacterized. The transcript has 4 exons. The record is from RefSeq and is a predicted model, not a curated record. NCBI's taxonomy places the organism in Eukaryota, Metazoa, Arthropoda, Insecta, Diptera, Drosophilidae.